AUAACCUUUGGGAUCCGUUGGCGGAUGGAUCAUCUUUUUGUUAGGAUAAAUAGGUUGAGGAAAGAGAGAUCAGAGCUAGACUGAGAGAGUUGUAAGCCGAGAGCCAGACUGUGAGAGUCGUAAGCCGGAGUAAGCUUGGUGCUACCUCUUUAUUUUUUUUAUUAUUUGCUUAUGAAGAAUUGUGAUUGAGAGAAGUAUUGUUGAAUUGAUAAUGGUAGAAUGGAUUAUGGGUUGAAUUAAGAUGGAAGUAGUAAGCCUCGGUGUUUUGUAGUUUGAUACUUGAUUUCAAAUAGCCAGAAUACAGUCAAUUGUGACACUAAUAGACCCAAUUAAUAUAAUCAGUCUUUCCCCGUGUUUGAACCCACCUCUAUUAGUUU
This 377-nucleotide long non-coding RNA is filed under the name Physcomitrium patens. RNAcentral describes it as "long non-coding RNA (PPAT_LNC008277)". The record is from RNAcentral. Lineage: Eukaryota; Viridiplantae; Streptophyta; Bryopsida; Funariales; Funariaceae.